CUACGGGGGCAGCAGUGGGGAAUAUUGGACAAUGGGCGAAAGCCUGAUCCAGCCAUGCCGCGUGUGUGAAGAAGGCCUUCGGGUUGUAAAGCACUUUCAGUGGGGAAGAAAGCCUUGGGGCUAAUACCCUCGAGGAAGGACAUCACCCACAGAAGAAGCACCGGCUAACUCCGUGCCAGCAGCCGCGGUAAUACGGAGGGUGCGAGCGUUAAUCGGAAUUACUGGGCGUAAAGCGCGCGUAGGCGGUCUGAUAAGCCGGUUGUGAAAGCCCCGGGCUCAACCUGGGAACGGCAUCCGGAACUGUCAGGCUAGAGUGCAGGAGAGGAAGGUAGAAUUCCCGGUGUAGCGGUGAAAUGCGUAGAGAUCGGGAGGAAUACCAGUGGCGAAGGCGGCCUUCUGGACUGACACUGACGCUGAGGUGCGAAAGCGUGGGUAGCAAACAGGAUUAGAUACCCGUGUAGUC
This 463-nucleotide ribosomal RNA is filed under the name Vreelandella stevensii. Its description in RNAcentral is "partial 16S ribosomal RNA". It matches the Rfam family "Bacterial small subunit ribosomal RNA", at positions 339 to 795 of the family's 1533-position model. The record is from RNAcentral. Lineage: Bacteria; Pseudomonadati; Pseudomonadota; Gammaproteobacteria; Oceanospirillales; Halomonadaceae.